AUUGAACGCUGGCGGCAUGCCUUACACAUGCAAGUCGAACGGCAGCAUGAUCUAGCUUGCUCGAUUGAUGGCGAGUGGCGAACGGGUGAGUAAUACAUCGGAACGUGCCCUGUAGUGGGGGAUAACUAGUCGAAAGAUUAGCUAAUACCGCAUACGACCUGAGGGUGAAAGUGGGGGACCGCAAGGCCUCAUGCUAUAGGAGCGGCCGAUGUCUGAUUAGCUAGUUGGUGAGGUAAAGGCUCACCAAGGCGACGAUCAGUAGCUGGUCUGAGAGGACGAUCAGCACAUGAGGGGAUGGGCAGCGGCCAAGCCUCCAAGGGGAGGCAGAGGGGGGAAAUUUUGGAAAAGGGGGGAAAGCCUGCACCAGCAACGCGGGGGGGGGGAAGAAGGCCUGCGGGUUGUAAAGCCUUUUUGUCGGGAAAAAAAGGGCUCUGGUUAAACCCUGGGGUCGAGACGGGAACCGGAAAAAAAAGGCCGGGUAACUUCGUG
This 489-nucleotide ribosomal RNA is filed under the name uncultured bacterium. RNAcentral's name for it is "partial 16S ribosomal RNA". It matches the Rfam family "Bacterial small subunit ribosomal RNA", at positions 29 to 507 of the family's 1533-position model. The record is from RNAcentral.